GACACAGACUCUGGGCUAGAAAAUUUGUUAGGUACUUUAUGUGACUCCUUCCCCAAACCUUGUGAGGCAAUGGUGAGGUUACUUGCCAGCUAUUAAGCAGCUCCUAGGGAGCAGGGCCGGGAUUUUAUCUAGCCCAGGGUUGCCAACUCCAAAAUUGUUACACCUUCCUCUGUACCAGGAUGAUGAUCAUGGAAAGACCAUUCCAAGAGCCAUGAGCACUGGGAAAUCAAGUUAGGGGGAAAACAAGAAAUGCCUGAAGGAACCAGACAUGUUCAGCCCAUCAAAGAGAAAGAACGGGAGACACCUUGAAGGCCUCCCAAGCGGGGGUGGGGGUAGGCAGCUCACCCUCUCCUCACGUGCCCCCACAGCAUGAAUGACAUCUGUACAAAGAAGCAGGCCUGGGACCCCAUAAUCCUUUACGCCAGAGCUCUGAACUAGCCCUGAUCACAGACAGAAUGAGGCGCAGUAAGGAGCCUGCUGUCCCUGGAAGCAGGCAAACAGAGGCUGAAUAACAGAGGAUGAUCACCCGAUCAUCCUUUUGACUUUCAGAUUUCUAUACAGGGGAAGAGGACCUUCCCUCUCUCCUAAUCCCAUCAGAUUCAGAAGCAGGAGCGAGGAGAAUCCACUCCAGAAGUAGGAUUUAAAAGAGCGUAAGGUGCGGAGUCUGAAGUCUUGUUGAACUGAAAUAAAAGCUUUGCUUACCGCCAGCGGCGCCAGCCUAUCCUAUAAAACUCCCGGUCUGCGGAACUGACAGCAUCUAGUACAGCGAAGUCCAGGUGAAAGUUCUCCAACAAUGAAAAUGGCCUCUGUCUGGGCGGCCCAAUAUGGUAACCGCUAACCACGCGUGGCCACUGAGCACCUGAACGGAGACUAAUGGAACUAAGGAACUCCAUUUUUAAAUUUUACUUAAGUUUAAUUUAAAUUUAAAUAGCCACAUGUGGCUACCAGCUGUUGUACUGGAUAGUGUAGGUUUAUGGUAUUUUUUUUUCCUCCAGUAAUCUUGGGUUACUAGACUGCUGUCCUUCAUUGGUUUGCUUCCUGGGGUUUUUAAGCCCUGGAGCAGGAGUAAGGAUGAUCUGGCAUGGUUUUACCUGCAGGCGUGAGAAAGAAGUGAGCUGAUCCCAGAAGUAAUACACUUGGCUAUGAGUUUUCUUUCUUCCCAGAGUUUACCCGAGUUUCAAUGCAUAAAGGGAAAUCACCCAUGAAACCAACAACAGAGGGACAUCUCCUAAGCCAGACUGAUUUCUUCUUGCUGUCAGAGGUUAAAACGAAACGAAACAAACUUGUUUGAAAAAAUUAACCAAUGGGAGCAGCCAUCACCCUUCAACUGACUCGGAGGGAACUAUAUUUCACCUGAGGCCCUCAAACACGGUGUGAUGAUAAAAAUGCUUUUGUUGGUCACCUCAGCUGCUAACUAUGGCUCCAGCGCUAGACCUGGGGUGUGUGUGUGGGGUGUUCUAGAAGCUCACCACCUGGGUGAGGGAAAGCAGCAGCGAUAAGAAGGUAAGGUCUAGGCCAUCCUAAGUUAACGUCCGGGGGAAAUACUGGGGUGCGUGAGUGGAGGGGCGUGAGGCGUGAAGCAAGGCUGCAAGGGACCCCGAGGAGCCCCUGGGGCCGGGGCCUGCUGACGGGCAUGCGUGGGGGUGAGGUGCGGGGAACUGGGGCAGCGGGGCUGCGGGCUCGGUGUAGGCAGAGAAGAUGAUGUCAGUGUUCAGAGAACCUGUUGGAACACGGAACGCGACUGCAGGGGAGGGAGGCCUGACGAGAAAUGGGAACAAAGGAAACACAGAGGCAGGCAGGCUGGAUAUACAAUGGAGGAGCAGAGGGAGAAGGGGCGGGGGGGGGGGGCGGGGGAGGGACGUGGCAAGAGUCACGGGCUAGAUUUCCUGCCGCCCCGGGAGGGUGACUGGGAAGAAGUUUCUGAGGGUGAAGGUGGUCAGGCUAAGUGCUUUUUUCGACAGCUGGAAAGUGAAGAAAUGACAAGAAUAGAAGGGCAGGUCUGGGUACUCCGGGAUUAGCACAGAGGUGAGAACGGGAGCUUCUGAGGGCACAGGGGAUCCAUCCCUCCAGGAGAGGCGGGGCCGGUGCUGGGGGAGCCCCGAGACAGAGCCAAGAGGGUCUGGCCUACGGAGGUAGGAAACAGGGCUGGCAGGAAUGAGGUUCCCCCAGGAAGGAGCAGUGUGUGGCGUCUGCAUCGAGGUGAAAGCAGCAGCAAUGAAGGCGCAGGACCCUUCAGCACCUGGGAAGACGCAAAAGCACAGAAAGGAACCAUCCCAGGGGCUGCUCCAGAAGCUCCCAGCUGGAUAAGCUUCAUCCUGAACACACAGUAGGCACUCAAGUAUUCUACUGAUUAGUAAUCUCAAGAAAACAGGCAGGGGGUCAUAUGCUGUGUGGAGGAGGAACAGAAAAGGGGAAUUGAUGGUUUAAGGAGCAGAGGGCCCCAGGGAGCCGUGGGAGGGAGCACAGUGGCAGAGAUCAAUAAAGGCCUCCCCAGCGGCUAAACCGGCAGGCCCCGGGAACAGCCAGAGACAAUGA
This is a long non-coding RNA of Mustela erminea (ermine), 2535 nucleotides long. RefSeq lists it as uncharacterized. The transcript is spliced from 3 exons. The record is from RefSeq and is a predicted model, not a curated record. NCBI's taxonomy places the organism in Eukaryota, Metazoa, Chordata, Mammalia, Carnivora, Mustelidae.